UUUCUGCCUUCCAAGGGUCAGAGCUCCCACCUGCAGAGCAUCCUUGAGCACCUGCAGUCUGGGCCAUUAAGCCUGAACUGGGCUUCUCAGUACCAGGAGGCUGUGGGUGCUCUGAGCUGGGGGGUCUCAGUCAGAUUUUAAACCCCCACAGUGGGUGAUGGGCUCUGCAUUUCCUUACCUGAGCCCUGUGCUUCAUGUUUCAGCCAUCUGAGCAGGGGAUGCUCAGUCCCCCAUGACAAUGGCUUCUAAACCAGGGCUUAGGGGGCAGGUCUUGCCCUCCUCCAUCAUGUGGGGAAGACAAGCUGGCUGGUGUCCCAGAGAGGGACCAAAAGCAGCAGACCCCCAUCAGAGUGUCUUGGGCUCAUCCUGAAGAAUGCUGAACCCAAACCAGACAAGAGAAAUUACUGCUUCAUGCCCUGGUGUGGGAAAAAGAGGACAGAGAGAUGCAGGCCACCACUUUUCUGGGGUUGGUGGGGCAUGGCUCACUUCUGGCAGGGUUGCUGUGUGUCCAUAGAGCAUCAUUCUGUCAUGGAAGGAGUCCCUGCCUCAUCAUCAGCCAGGACAUUCCCUCUGUCAGUGCCUGGCAGGAAUGCUGGAGGAGGCUGUGGGCAUCAAGCAGAAGCUGAACUGAGAGCCAGGAGUGGUUCCAUGGGAAGUGUGACCCUGGCAUCCUGCUGCCAGAGCUCUGACCCAGGACGAGCCAGUGUGAUGUGAUCCCCUUGGCUCAUCUCUGCACUCUUCAGACCUCUGGGUGCCAAAAUCAAGAGGCAAGAGGCCCUGGAGGAGCCUUUUCCUGGCACAGGCAGCACAGUGAGUGACCCUGCUGCAGGCACCGAGUGAGAAGGGGGAGUGAGUGAUGCUGGCAGUGGCACAUCUGGUGACAAAGCUGGCCAGCCAGAAGAGGU
Long non-coding RNA from Serinus canaria (Common canary), 905 nucleotides. RefSeq lists it as uncharacterized. NCBI's taxonomy places the organism in Eukaryota, Metazoa, Chordata, Aves, Passeriformes, Fringillidae. The record is from RefSeq and is a predicted model, not a curated record. The transcript has 3 exons.